Molecule: ribosomal RNA, 505 nt
Filed under: uncultured bacterium
Lineage: Bacteria
Description: bacterial SSU rRNA
Rfam family: Bacterial small subunit ribosomal RNA
Source: RNAcentral
AUUGAACGCUGGCGGUAUGCUUUACACAUGCAAGUCGAACGGCAGCACGGACUUCGGUCUGGUGGCGAGUGGCGAACGGGUGAGUAAUGUAUCGGAACGUGCCCAGUAGUGGGGGAUAACUACUCGAAAGAGUGGCUAAUACCGCAUGAGAUCUCUGGAUGAAAGCGGGGGACCGUAAGGCCUCGCGCUACUGGAGCGGCCGAUAUCAGAUUAGGUAGUUGGUAGGGUAAAGGCCUACCAAGCCAACGAUCUGUAGCUGGUCUGAGAGGACGACCAGCCACACUGGAACUGAGACACGGUCCAGACUCCUACGGGAGGCAGCAGUGGGGAAUUUUGGACAAUGGACGCAAGUCUGAUCCAGCAAUACCGCGUGCAGGACGAAGGCCUUCGGGUUGUAACUGCUUUGUACGGAACGAAAGACCUUCUUCUAAUACAGGGGGUCGAUGACGGUACCGUAAGAAUAAGCACCGGCUAACUACGUGCCAGCAGCCGCGGUAAACACGAG